CCUACUGUAGCUGAAUACCUCAUGGGUGUAAUUUGUAAAUCUAAAAUGGCUAAAAACUUAAAAAUUGGAUACUAAUGGAUCACAAAUCCCUGGGAUGAUUGACCCUAAUGGUAUUCUGAACAAAAAGAGCUUUCAAGCAAACUUGUUGCUGUUUCCAUCACUUCACACUGACUCAACAGACAUUCUAUGCUUCCGACUGACAGUCCUGGAAUCUUAUUAUAUAGAUAAUAAUUAUUCCACUGACUUCACUGAAAUUAUACCAGGAACAAAUCUGGCCUUUUGUACAAUAUAUAAACCUUCCAGUUGUAUUUUCAAAUUGCAAGUACUUUCUGCAACAGAGAACUACAUUCUGCCUAUGCAUAAAGAAAUUGGCAAAGACAAAAACAGGCUGGCAACUGUGUAAAACAACAACUGUGUAGAGACAGCAUAGAAAUAAAGAAAGAGUUGUCAUUACUUUCCUGCGGUUGGUCCAAUGCACAAUUCAGAGACACUUACAGUCUCUUCUAUAACUAAGAGGAAGAAACAAUUUUCUACCAUAUGAAACAACGGCUAGUGCAAAGGGUCAACAAGCACUACAACUGCCUGUAUGGAUCUGGAGCGCUGAAGGGUGUAAAGAAGACUCAAGUGUAGAAUGGGAUCCUGACUGCCAUUAACUCGUCAUGUAAGAGAUAUAUGGAAUCACUCAAGCAGAAGGGGAGAUCUCUGACAGCUCACUCAAAGGAAGAUGAGAGAAUGCUACCAUAU
This is a long non-coding RNA of Mauremys reevesii (Reeves's turtle), 744 nucleotides long. RefSeq lists it as uncharacterized. The record is from RefSeq and is a predicted model, not a curated record. The transcript is spliced from 3 exons. Lineage: Eukaryota; Metazoa; Chordata; Testudines; Geoemydidae.